CACGGGGGUUGCGAGCGUUGUCCGGAAUUACUAGGCGUAAAGGGCAGGCAGGCGGAUCCAUAAGUUUAUCGUUUAAGGCGUCGGCUUAACCGGCGUAGGGCGGUAGAUACUGUGGAUCUGGAAUGCGGUUGGGGAAGACAGAAUUCCUGGUGUAGCGGUGGAAUGCGCAGAGAUCAGGAGGAAUACCGAAGGCGAAGGCAGUCUUCCAAGCCGUUAUUGACGCCCAACUGCGAAGGUGUGGGUAUCAAACAGGAUUAGAUACCCGCGUAGUCCCUGAGCGGG
Molecule: ribosomal RNA, 282 nt
Filed under: uncultured prokaryote
Description: partial 16S ribosomal RNA
Rfam family: Bacterial small subunit ribosomal RNA
Source: RNAcentral